GAGUUUGAUCAUGGCUCAGGAUGAACGCUAGCGGCAGGCUUAACACAUGCAAGUCGAGGGGUAGAGUAGCAAUACUUGAGACCGGCGCACGGGUGCGUAACGCGUAUGCAACCUACCUUUUACAGAGGGAUAGCCCAGAGAAAUUUGGAUUAAUACCUCAUAGUAUAUGUCUUUCGCAUGUUAGACAUAUUAAAGUUCCAACGGUAAAAGAUGGGCAUGCGUCCUAUUAGCUAGAUGGUAAGGUAACGGCUUACCAUGGCAACGAUAGGUAGGGGUCCUGAGAGGGAGAUCCCCCACACUGGUACUGAGACACGGACCAGACUCCUACGGGAGGCAGCAGUGAGGAAUAUUGGACAAUGGGCGCAAGCCUGAUCCAGCCAUGCCGCGUGCAGGAAGACGGUCCUAUGGAUUGUAAACUGCUUUUGUACGGGAAGAAACACUCCCUCGUGAGGGAGCUUGACGGUACCGUAAGAAUAAGGAUCGGCUAACUCCGUGCCAGCCGCCGCCGUAAU
RNAcentral lists this ribosomal RNA (512 nucleotides) under uncultured Flavobacterium sp. RNAcentral's name for it is "bacterial SSU rRNA". It matches the Rfam family "Bacterial small subunit ribosomal RNA", at positions 9 to 524 of the family's 1533-position model. The record is from RNAcentral. Lineage: Bacteria; Pseudomonadati; Bacteroidota; Flavobacteriia; Flavobacteriales; Flavobacteriaceae.